RNAcentral lists this ribosomal RNA (253 nucleotides) under uncultured bacterium. RNAcentral's name for it is "partial 16S ribosomal RNA". It matches the Rfam family "Bacterial small subunit ribosomal RNA", at positions 524 to 776 of the family's 1533-position model. The record is from RNAcentral.
GACGUAGGGGGCGAGCGUUGUCCGGAUUUAUUGGGCGUAAAGAGCGUGUAGGCGGCCAGGUAGGUCUGCUGUGAAAACUCGAGGCUCAACCUCGAGACGUCGGCGGAAACCAUCUGGCUAGAGUCCGGAAGAGGAGAGUGGAAUUCCUGGUGUAGCGGUGAAAUGCGCAGAUAUCAGGAAGAACACCGAUGGCGAAGGCAGGUCACUGGGCCGCAACUGACGCUGAGGAGCGAAAGCAUGGGGAGCGAACAGG